This 468-nucleotide ribosomal RNA is filed under the name uncultured bacterium. RNAcentral's name for it is "partial 16S ribosomal RNA". It matches the Rfam family "Bacterial small subunit ribosomal RNA", at positions 28 to 507 of the family's 1533-position model. The record is from RNAcentral.
GACGAACGCUGGCGGCGUGCUUAACACAUGCAAGUCGAACGGAAAGGCCCUGCUUUUGUGGGGUGCUCGAGUGGCGAACGGGUGAGUAACACGUGAGUAACCUGCCCUUGACUUUGGGAUAACUUCAGGAAACUGGGGCUAAUACCGUAUAGGAGCUCCUGCUGCAUGGUGGGGGUUGGAAAGUUUCGGCGGUUGGGGAUGGACUCGCGGCUUAUCAGCUUGUUGGUGGGGUAGUGGCUUACCCAGGCUUUGACGGGUAGCCGGCCUGAGAGGGUGGACGGGCACAAUGGGACUGAGAUACGGCCCAGACUCCAACGGGAGGCAGCAGUGGGGAAUAUUGCACAAUGGGAGGAAGCCUGAUGAAGCAACGCCGCGGGCGGGAUGACGGCCUGCGGGUUGUAAAACGCUUUCGCCUGUGACGAAGCGGGAGUGACGGUAAUGGGUAAAGAAGCACCGGCUAACUACGUG